CUACGGGUGGCAGUAGUGGGGAAUAUUGGACAAUGGGGGAAACCCUGAUCCAGCAAUGCCGCGUGUGUGAAGAAGGCCUGCGGGUUGUAAAGCACUUUCGGUUGGGAGGACUGCUUCUAGCACUAAUAUUGUUGGAAGUUGACGUUACCUUCAGAAGAAGCACCGGCUAACUCCGUGCCAGCAGCCGCGGUAAUACGGAGGGUGCAAGCGUGUAAUCGGAAUUACUGGGCGUAAAGCGCGCGUAGGCGGCUAGAUCAGUCGGGUGUGAAAGCCCCGGGCUUAACCUGGGAACUGCAUCCGAUACUGUCUAGCUUGAGUACAGGAGAGGAGAGUGGAAUUCCACAUGUAGCGGUGAAAUGCGUAGAUAUGUGGAGGAACACCAAUGGCGAAGGCAGCUCUCUGGCCUAAUACUGACGCUGAGGUGCGAAAGCGUGGGGAGCAAACAGGAUUAGAUACCCCGGUAGUC
This 466-nucleotide ribosomal RNA is filed under the name uncultured bacterium. RNAcentral's name for it is "partial 16S ribosomal RNA". It matches the Rfam family "Bacterial small subunit ribosomal RNA", at positions 339 to 795 of the family's 1533-position model. The record is from RNAcentral.